AGCUUUGCGCAGUGGCAGUAUCGUAGCCAAUGAGGUUUAUCUGAGGCGUGAUUAUUGCUAAUUGAAAAUGUGUUUAAAUGGUUAAAUGUCUAGAAUCAUCAAAUUUUUGAGAAAUGUUUAAAUU
Molecule: small nuclear RNA, 124 nt
Organism: Vulpes vulpes (red fox)
Lineage: Eukaryota; Metazoa; Chordata; Mammalia; Carnivora; Canidae
Gene: U4
Rfam family: U4 spliceosomal RNA
About the family: U4 small nuclear RNA (U4 snRNA) is a component of the major U2-dependent spliceosome.
Source: Ensembl